Molecule: ribosomal RNA, 770 nt
Filed under: Alteromonas macleodii
Lineage: Bacteria; Pseudomonadati; Pseudomonadota; Gammaproteobacteria; Alteromonadales; Alteromonadaceae
Description: bacterial SSU rRNA
Rfam family: Bacterial small subunit ribosomal RNA
Source: RNAcentral
AAGCCCCGGCUUCACCUGGGACGUUCAUUCACAACUGGCAGACUUUGAUUCCUUGAGAUGGGAUUGAAAUUCCAUAUGUAUCCGGUAAAAUACGUAGAUAUCUUGAGGAACAUCAUUGCCGAAGAGACUACCUGGCAAAGACCGACGCUCAUGUGCGAAAGUGUCGGUAGCGAACCGGAUUAGAUCCCCUGGUAGUCCACACCGUAAAAGCUGUUUUCUAGCUGUGCGUGUCUCUAAGAAGUUCGUAGCGAAUCUUCAAGCGCUAAAGUUGUCCCCCUUGGGAAGUACGCCCCCCCAAGGGUUAAAACUCAAAUGAAUUGACGGGGGGCCCACCACAAGCGCGGGAGCAUUUGGUUUAAUUUGAUUUAACGCGAAGAGCCUUACCCACACUUGUCACGCGGAGAACUUUCUCGAGAUAGCCUCUUGUUCUUGGGGAAUCAGAGACACGGGCGGCACGUCUGUCUUUACAUCUUGUCUUGAGAGAUUGAGGUUUAUUCCCCGCAGCGGGCGCAACCCUUGUCCUUAGUCCACCGCCUUAAGGGGCGCUCUCUAGGGAGACUGCCGGUGACAACCCGGAGGAAGGGGGGGACGACGUCAAGUCAUCAUGGCCCUUACGUGUAGGGCUACACACGUGCUACAAUGGCAUUUACAGAGGGAAGCGAGACAGUGAUGUGGAGCGGACCCCUUAAAGAAUGUCGUAGUCCGGAUUGGAGUCUGCAACUCGACUCCAUGAAGUCGGAAUCGCUAGUAAUCGCAGGUCAGAAUGUGCG